Long non-coding RNA from Mus caroli (Ryukyu mouse), 493 nucleotides. RefSeq lists it as uncharacterized. The record is from RefSeq and is a predicted model, not a curated record. Lineage: Eukaryota; Metazoa; Chordata; Mammalia; Rodentia; Muridae.
GGCAGACGGAUUUCUGAGUUCGAGGCCAGCUUGGUCUACAAAAUUCAUCUCUGUGCUUUGAACUUGUGUGGAAAUUAGUCCUUUUGGAACCAUAAAGAUCGAGAUACUACUCCAGAAGAACAUGAAAGAAUUCAAUGAUGCAGACCAAUUUAUGGAAAUCAAAGACGAAAUACUGGCUUCAGACAACUUCUGCUUCAGCACCUGCCACAAACUUCCACAAAGGUAAAGAGAAGAGUAUCAAAUCGCAUUAUAUGCUGGAGAUGCAGGACAAGUAAACACAGCAAACAUGUUGAGCAGAUCAAGUCUCACACAGCUACAACACAGAAGCUGAUGCCAUAUCUGUGCCACUGAGCUAGGAGAAGUUGGAGUUAAUCAGAUUUGAACACCUCUUUAAGAGGUAGUCACUGAUCCUUGAGUUCAAGUGUGAGCUCUCAGAUCUGCUCCAGCCACCACGUCUUUGUUGCACCAUCAUGGACCCUGAUUCUCUGGAUCU